CACUGUUGUGUUUUUGUUACUUACAGGGGGUCCAGCAAAUCCAGCAGGCCCAGGAGGUCCAGUCUCACCCCUGUCACCCUGAAAGAAGAGAAGCAAGAAAAACUCAGUGGGUAGUCCAGGCUGCAACGCUGUGUGAGCAAGCGCACCGCGGGUACCAGGAGCUCCAGAAGGACCAGCAGGACCAGAUUCACCCUGAAAGGAAAGACAGCAUCAAGCCAUAAACACUGGGUUCAGAUACACUGUCAGUGACAGGUCCGGGAAUGCCAGCAGCUCCUCUCUCUCCAGGCAUACCCUGCAGGCCGGGGGGUCCUUGAGCUCCAGCGGCACCGGCAGGUCCAAUGGCUCCCUAUUACGGAGGAGAAAUAAAUGGAGAUGGAUUCAUGCAGUAACCUGAAGUUACUGUAUAUGAUGUAAGCGCCUGCUACAGAUGUGAGGAGGUGCCGUUUGCUUAGUGAUGCAUUCAAGAUUUUGCGCUGAAACCUUGACUUUUGUUGAGAAUGUUUUGCUGUCACUUUUCAGAUUGCUCUUGCCAAGACUUUGUGUUUAUUUACACACGAGUCAGAAAUACAAAAAUGCUGCUCUUAUAGAGUGAGAACGCAUCCACUUCAACAAAACAGACAAUCUUUGUCUCAGCAAGUUCUGCUCAAGGUUAUCAAUUGAUGGAAAGGACAGAAAAAAACAGCUGUUAAAUAUUAUUCACCUGACACAGGCUGUUCACUUUCUGGAUUAAAAUGAACUUUAGCCAACUCUUUUGCCCAAAAUUCAGUCAAUCAGUUUUGGAAAUAAAAAAUAUCUCAAAUUCCAUGUGUUCCUUUUAAAGCUGUAUUCUAAAGAAAGA
Molecule: long non-coding RNA, 838 nt
Organism: Seriola dumerili (greater amberjack)
Lineage: Eukaryota; Metazoa; Chordata; Actinopteri; Carangiformes; Carangidae
Exons: 3
Source: RefSeq, a predicted model, not a curated record